UCAGAUGUUGUGUAGUAGGAACGCGGCCUCUUGUCAUAAUUUAUCGGCUGAAGCAUUUCAGCGGCAGUCCGGGGUUCAAAUCCCUGCGUCUAAU
Mycena vulgaris is the source of this 94-nucleotide non-coding RNA. The record is from the annotation of a GenBank genome assembly. Lineage: Eukaryota; Fungi; Basidiomycota; Agaricomycetes; Agaricales; Mycenaceae.